UAGCCUAGAGGUUAAGGCAAUGGAUCGCCAAUCCGGAGACGGCGGGUUCGAUUCCCGU
This is a non-coding RNA of Aedes albopictus (Asian tiger mosquito), 58 nucleotides long. The record is from Rfam. NCBI's taxonomy places the organism in Eukaryota, Metazoa, Arthropoda, Insecta, Diptera, Culicidae.